AUGAACGCUGGCGGCGUGCCUAAUACAUGCAAGUCGAGCGAACAGACGAGGAGCUUGCUCCUCUGACGUUAGCGGCGGACGGGUGAGUAACACGUGGAUAACCUACCUAUAAGACUGGGAUAACUUCGGGAAACCGGAGCUAAUACCGGAUAAUAUAUUGAACCGCAUGGUUCAAUAGUGAAAGACGGUUUUGCUGUCACUUAUAGAUGGAUCCGCGCCGCAUUAGCUAAUUGGUAAGGUAACGGCUUACCAAGGCAACGAUGCGUAGCCGACCUGAGAGGGUGAUCGGCCACACUGGAACUGAGACACGGUCCAGACUCCUACGGGAGGCAGCAGUAGGGAAUCUUCCGCAGUGGGCGAAAGCCUGACGGAGCAACGCCGCGUGAGUGAUGAAGGUCUUCGGAUCGUAAAACUCUGUUAUUAGGGAAGAACAAAUGUGUAAGUAACUAUGCACGUCUUGACGGUACCUAAUCAGAAAGCCACGGCUAACUACGUG
RNAcentral lists this ribosomal RNA (496 nucleotides) under uncultured bacterium. RNAcentral describes it as "partial 16S ribosomal RNA". It matches the Rfam family "Bacterial small subunit ribosomal RNA", at positions 29 to 507 of the family's 1533-position model. The record is from RNAcentral.